CAGGCGCGCAAAUUACCCACUCCCAGCACGGGGAGGUAGUGACGAUAAAUAACGAUACGGGACUCAUCCGAGGCCCCGUAAUCGGAAUGAGUACACUUUAAAACUUUUUCCGAGGAUCAAUUGGAGGGUAAGUCUGGUGCCAGCAACCGCGGUAAGACCAGCUCCAAUAGCGUAUAUUAAAAUUGUUGCGGUUAAAAAGCUCGUAGUCGAAUCUGUGUCCCGCGCCGUUGGUUCAUCGCUCGCGGUGUUCAACUGGCGUGUCGCGGGACGUCCUGCCGGUGGUCACUCGUACCCUUCGCGGUGCGAGUCCCAGCUCGUAGCCGCCUUGCGCGGUUGCGAAUCCCAUCGCGGUGCUCUUUAUUGAGUGUCGAGGUGGGCCGGCACGUUUACUUUGAACAAAUUAGAGUGCUUAAAGCAGGCCAAUGUUGCCUGAAUAUUGUGUGCAUGGAAUAAUGGAAUAGGACCUCGGUUCUAUUUUGUUGGUUUUCGGAACCCCGAGGUAAUGAUUAAUAGGAACGGAUGGGGGCAUUCGUAUUGCGACGUUAGAGGUGAAAUUCUUGGAUCGUCGCAAGACGGACUGAAGCGAAAGCGUUUGCCAAAAACGUUUUCAUUGAUCAAGAACGAAAGUUAGAGGCUCGAAGGCGAUCAGAUACCGCCCUAGUUCUAACCAUAAACGAUGCCAGCUAGCGAUCCGCCGACGUUCCUCCGAUGACUCGGCGGGCAGCUUCCGGGAAACCAAAGCUUUUGGGUUCCGGGGGAAGUAUGGUUGCAAAGCUGAAACUUAAAGGAAUUGACGGAAGGGCACCACCAGGAGUGGAGCCUGCGGCUUAAUUUGACUCAACACGGGAAACCUCACCAGGCCCGGACACCGGAAGGAUUGACAGAUUGAUAGCUCUUUCUUGAUUUGGUGGGUGGUGGUGCAUGGCCGUUC
This 931-nucleotide ribosomal RNA is filed under the name Lomechusini gen. 2 sp. HE-2012. RNAcentral's name for it is "bacterial SSU rRNA". It matches the Rfam family "Eukaryotic small subunit ribosomal RNA", at positions 429 to 1293 of the family's 1831-position model. The record is from RNAcentral. Lineage: Eukaryota; Metazoa; Arthropoda; Insecta; Coleoptera; Staphylinidae.